RNAcentral lists this long non-coding RNA (798 nucleotides) under Monodelphis domestica (gray short-tailed opossum). RNAcentral's name for it is "lncRNA (ENSMODG00000035270.2)". Lineage: Eukaryota; Metazoa; Chordata; Mammalia; Didelphimorphia; Didelphidae. The record is from RNAcentral.
CCUGAAAUUGUUCAGUGAGUGGGAACCUGCUCCGUGCCAGAGAAGUGCAUACUCCAUUGGAAUUGUUCUAAUUGUUAAGAAAAUAUUCUUACAAAAAGACUAAAUGUUCUCCUUUGUAAAUUCCAUUUUUUCCUUUCAGAGAAACAGGAAAUGUCUAAUCCCUCUUCCACAAGAGAAUUUUUCAUAUACUUGAAGACAGAAUUCAGUUUUUGAUUUAAGGCUUAACCAAAACUACUGACAGGAAAAAUAAGGGAAAGCAGAGGAUAGAGCACUGGGCCUGAAGUCAGAAAGACUCAUCUACAGUAUCUUUGCCAAGAAAGCUCCAUGUCGAGUCAUAAAAGUCAGGCACAACUGCAAAAAUGAAUCCACAGCAACAAUUAUGAACAAACGUCCAACAAUUGGAGAGUCAAUUCAAGGAUGGUUGCUUUUAGUAAUAGAAGAUUUAAGAGGGUUUUCUUUAAAAACAUUUGAUUGACACAUGUGCACACCCACAGUGAGCAACUGAUGCUCCCAGAAUCUGCAGAUGGCAAUUUAUCUGUUUGGGCCUCUUUGUCUGAAUGGGAAAUAGCUGAGAGUCACACUUCACUACAUCCCAUCAAUUUGGAAAUGUUAAGAUCCUGGAGAGAAGGCCACUGUGGGUUGGAUAAUUGGAGUGGCAUGGAGACUGAAGAAAGGGAGAUUUUUUUUACCUGAAAGAAGUAGCUGAUCUGCUCAGUUUCUGGGCAAAGGAAAUAGAAUUGAUUCUGCCAAUUAAAAAUUUAAAGGAUUGCAAAUGUAUUAGUAGAAUUGAACCAAACA